GCCACUGCACUGGGCCAGGAAUAUCUUUCUAUGACAAACGGUCUGGUUCUGUCACCCAGGUUGGAAUGCAGUGUCAGGAUCAUAGCUCCACUGUGACCUCAAACUCUUGGGCUCAAGCAACUCUCCUGCCUCAAGCAACUCUCCAGCCUCAGCAUCCGAGUAACUGAGACUACAGGCAGGGAAAUGAAGAGCCACUUUCAACAAUUCUGAAGAAGAAAUAUGGGAUGUUUUGCUUCGGGAUGGAGGCUGGAGCAGGAGUUUCUGGAGUCUGCCAGUACCCAGUUUGAAUCCCAGCUCUGCCUUUUAUCAGCUGGGUGUUGGGCAAGUUAGCUGACUUUUGUGAGUUUUCUCAUCAUUAAAAUGAGAACACUGUUA
This 375-nucleotide small RNA is filed under the name Pan troglodytes (chimpanzee). Its description in RNAcentral is "sense intronic". Lineage: Eukaryota; Metazoa; Chordata; Mammalia; Primates; Hominidae. The record is from RNAcentral.